Molecule: ribosomal RNA, 465 nt
Filed under: Vreelandella stevensii
Lineage: Bacteria; Pseudomonadati; Pseudomonadota; Gammaproteobacteria; Oceanospirillales; Halomonadaceae
Description: partial 16S ribosomal RNA
Rfam family: Bacterial small subunit ribosomal RNA
Source: RNAcentral
CCUACGGGAGGCAGCAGUGGGGAAUAUUGGACAACGGGGGGAACCCUGAUCCAGCCAUGCCGCGUGUGUGAAGAAGGCCCUCGGGUUGUAAAGCACUUUCAGUGAGGAAGAACGCCUGGUGGUUAAUACCCAUCAGGAAAGACAUCACUCACAGAAGAAGCACCGGCUAACUCCGUGCCAGCAGCCGCGGUAAUACGGAGGGUGCGAGCGUUAAUCGGAAUUACUGGGCGUAAAGCGCGCGUAGGUGGCUUGAUAAGCCGGUUGUGAAAGCCCCGGGCUCAACCUGGGAACGGCAUCCGGAACUGUCAAGCUAGAGUGCAGGAGAGGAAGGUAGAAUUCCCGGUGUAGCGGUGAAAUGCGUAGAGAUCGGGAGGAAUACCAGUGGCGAAGGCGGCCUUCUGGACUGACACUGACACUGAGGUGCGAAAGCGUGGGUAGCAAACAGGAUUAGAUACCCGUGUAGUC